Molecule: long non-coding RNA, 1316 nt
Filed under: Medicago truncatula (barrel medic)
Lineage: Eukaryota; Viridiplantae; Streptophyta; Magnoliopsida; Fabales; Fabaceae
Description: lncRNA gene50411
Source: RNAcentral
CCCACACCAGCUGCUGAUAUGGGCAUGUUGGUGCAAAAAGCUUGAGCAAGUUUAUCAUCUACCUUUGACACAACUUGUAUGAGCUCAUAUGCCUUUUUUCGAACACCAAUGACAACCUUUUCUCUAUAAUUAAUAAGAAACAAUUCUGUAAUUUCAAGAGUAGGCCUUUAAUUGCAGGAAGUCCCUUAAAAUCAUCUUCCAAGCCUAUCGGAACUUGGAUUACAGCAGCACUAUAUAUGAUGUCAAGUUGGACUACUAAUAAAAUCAACAAUUUUGGAUUUAGAGUAUUUAAAUAGGGUUAGAUAGAUUUUUAGUCGCACAUCAUAGUUUGAAUAUAUAUAUAUACUGGUGGGUGGAGGAUGUUUGAGUUCAAAACUCAACAUCCCUGCUUCAAAUAUCAAAUUUGAUAAUGUAUUAUUAUUAUUACCUGAUAAUCUUUCCGGUUCAAGGAAAUGAUAGUAGGCUGGGCAAGAGCAUACAAGAAUCAUUCAUUGGUCUCUUUAUUUUCUUUUUUGAAAUUAAAGGACCGUUGGUGUCUGUCUUUAUUAUUUAUUAGUUUGGGUUGCAUGCAUGGUUAUACUUUCAAACAUGUUCCUAAUCCUCUUAGGCCUACUCGGAUUCUUGUAGUAGAUUGGGGACAGACAUCCGAAUAUAUAUUAGGAAUCUGCGUGCUGUCUGUGUAUAAGUUGGUCUCAUCAACGAUCUAACUAUCCUUAACACUCCCUCUCUCACACUAUCUUCAUCACUGUUUCUUCUUUCUUCGCUUCCAAAACCUAAUCAAUCUUCUUCCCAAAGCUGCUAGCGAAGAAGCCUCAUCAUUAUCGUCCUGGAACCGUUGCUCUUCGUGAGAGAUCUGUAAGUAUCAGAAGAGUACCAAACUUUUGAUCCGUAAGCUUCCCUUCCAGAGUCAUGCUGUUCUUGCAGUACUUCAGGAAGCAGCUGAGGCUUAUCUCGUGGGAUUGUUUGAGGAUACCAAUUUGUGUGCUAUUCAUGCUAAGAGGGUGACGAUUAUGCCCAAGGAUAUUCAGCUGUAUCCGUGGUGAACGUGCUUAGGGUUAUGAAUUUGAUGGUUUAGUAGUAUUUUGGAAUGAUUUAGGGUUUAUGAAUUCAAGUUUCUUUAAUGCGUUUUUGUAGAAGAUUUUACCCUAUACCCCUACAAACCCCUAAGUAUGUAUGCCCCUAAGAGAAGGGUGACAAACCCUAGAAACUACUUCUAAUUUUCCAAAUUGGUGUUGAACUUUGAAUUUAAGUUUUGAAUUUUCUGCUUUUUGUUUAUCUCUGGAUUAAAACACUUUCUCAAAUUUGUUUCGAUUAUA